This 484-nucleotide ribosomal RNA is filed under the name uncultured bacterium. RNAcentral's name for it is "partial 16S ribosomal RNA". It matches the Rfam family "Bacterial small subunit ribosomal RNA", at positions 30 to 507 of the family's 1533-position model. The record is from RNAcentral.
AUUGAACGCUGGCGGCAGGCCUAACACAUGCAAGUCGAGCGGAUGAAGGGAGCUUGCUCCUGGAUUCAGCGGCGGACGGGUGAGUAAUGCCUAGGAAUCUGCCUGGUAGUGGGGGAUAACGUCCGGAAACGGGCGCUAAUACCGCAUACGUCCUGAGGGAGAAAGUGGGGGAUCUUCGGACCUCACGCUAUCAGAUGAGCCUAGGUCGGAUUAGCUAGUUGGUGGGGUAAAGGCCUACCAAGGCGACGAUCCGUAACUGGUCUGAGAGGAUGAUCAGUCACACUGGAACUGAGACACGGUCCAGACUCCUACGGGAGGCAGCAGUGGGGAAUAUUGGACAAUGGGCGAAAGCCUGAACCAGCCAUGCCGCGUGUGUGAAGAAGGUCUUCGGAUUGUAAAGCACUUUAAGUUGGGAGGAAGGGCAGUAAGUUAAUACCUUGCUGUUUUGACGUUACCAACGGAAUAAGCACCGGCUAACUUCGUG